This 330-nucleotide ribosomal RNA is filed under the name Triticum aestivum (bread wheat). RNAcentral's name for it is "partial small subunit ribosomal RNA". The record is from RNAcentral. Lineage: Eukaryota; Viridiplantae; Streptophyta; Magnoliopsida; Poales; Poaceae.
AUGGAGAUAGCAUGUAUGGUUUUUAAAAUGGGUCCUCUUGACACCAAGGGGUAUCAGAUAGUCUUGUGUUUUGCCACAAAGGGCAGGAGCUGUGACACUCGACGAGGACAAAUAGUUCAAGUACAAAAGUACAAGGGAAUGGUCUUUCGGAUAUAUAGACAUAAGAGGAAACUUCCUUUUGCAUUGCAAAAAUUGAUGCAAUUCAAAAUAUGUCAUUUUAGUAAAAUUAAGAAGGUAUUGCUUAGUGGAGUGUUUGCAGUUAAACAUCAUUUUGAAAACCACGUCUCCAUUACCUGGUAUAUACUGUCCUUAUGUUUAGCAUCGACCUAA